GACGAACGCUGGCGGCGUGCCUAAUACAUGCAAGUCGAGCGCGGGAAGCAGACAGAAGCCUUCGGGCGGACGUCUGUGGAACGAGCGGCGGAUGGGUGAGUAACACGUGGGCAACCUGCCUGUAAGCUCGGGAUAACUAACGGAAACGUUAGCUAAUACCGGAUGAAGCUUCGUACCGCAUGGUACGAAGAUGAAAGGCGGCACUUGCUGUCACUUACAGAUGGGCCCGCGGCGCAUUAGCUAGUUGGUGGGGUAAAGGCUCACCAAGGCAACGAUGCGUAGCCGACCUGAGAGGGUGAUCGGCCACACUGGGACUGAGACACGGCCCAGACUCCUACGGGAGGCAGCAGUAGGGAAUAUUCCGCAAUGGACGCAAGUCUGACGGAGCGACGCCGCGUGAGUGAUGAAGGUCUUCGGAUCGUAAAACUCUGUUGUUAGGGAAGAACAAGUAUCGGAGUAAUAUGCCGGUACCUUGACGGUACCUAACCAGAAAGCCCCGGCUAACUACGUGCCAGCAGCCGCGGUAAUACGUAGGGGGCAAGCGUUGUCCGGAAUUAUUGGGCGUAAAGGGUGCGUAGGCGGCCCUUUAAGUCAGAUGUGAAAGGCCACGGCUUAACCGUGGGAUUGCAUUUGAAACUGGAGGGCUUGAGUGUCGGAGAGGGUAGUGGAAUUCCCAGUGUAGCGGUGAAAUGCGUAGAUAUUGGGAGGAACACCAGUGGCGAAGGCGACUACCUGGACGAUAACUGGCGCUGAGGCACGAAAGCUAGGGGAGCAAACAGGAUUAGAUACCCUGGUAGUCCACGCCGUAAACGAUGAGUGCUAGGUGUCGGGGAUUUAUCUUCGGUGCCGGAGUUAACACAUUAAGCACUCCGCCUGGGGAGUACGUUCGCNAGAAUGAAACUCAAAGGAAUUGACGGGGACCCGCACAGCAGCGGAGCAUGUGGUUAAUUCGAGCACGCGAAGANCUUACCAGGCUUGNCUCCUCUGACGCUCUAAAAUAGGCUUNCUUCGGGACGAGAGACAGUGG
This 1027-nucleotide ribosomal RNA is filed under the name uncultured bacterium. RNAcentral describes it as "bacterial SSU rRNA". It matches the Rfam family "Bacterial small subunit ribosomal RNA", at positions 28 to 1034 of the family's 1533-position model. The record is from RNAcentral.